RNAcentral lists this ribosomal RNA (394 nucleotides) under uncultured bacterium. RNAcentral describes it as "partial 16S ribosomal RNA". It matches the Rfam family "Bacterial small subunit ribosomal RNA", at positions 523 to 918 of the family's 1533-position model. The record is from RNAcentral.
AUACGGAGGAUGCGAGCGUUAUCCGGAUUUAUUGGGUUUAAAGGGUGCGUAGGCGGAUGAUUAAGCGUGAGGUGAAAUGCCACUGCUCAACAGUGGAACUGCCUCGCGAACUGGUUGUCUUGAAUGCUCCUGCCGUGGGAGGAAUGUGUGGUGUAGCGGUGAAAUGCAUAGAGAUCACACAGAACACCGAUUGCGAAGGCAUCUCACGAAGGGGUGAUUGACGCUGAGGCACGAAAGCGUGGGGAUCAAACAGGAUUAGAUACCCUGGUAGUCCACGCAGUAAACGAUGAUAACUAACCGCUGGGUCGUAGUGAUUCAGUGGCCAAGCGAAAGCGAUAAGUUAUCCACCUGGGGAGUACGACCGCAAGGUUGAAACUUAAAGGAAUUGACGGGG